GAUGAACGCUGACAGAAUGCUUAACACAUGCAAGUCAACUUGAACUUCGGUUUGGGUGGCGGACGGGUGAGUAACGCGUAAAGAACUUGCCUCACAGCUAGGGACAACAUUUGGAAACGAAUGCUAAUACCUGAUAUUAUGAUUUUAGGGCAUCCUAGAAUUAUGAAAGCUAUAUGCGCUGUGAGAGAGCUUUGCGUCCCAUUAGCUAGUUGGAGAGGUAACGGCUCACCAAGGCGAUGAUGGGUAGCCGGCCUGAGAGGGUGAACGGCCACAAGGGGACUGAGACACGGCCCUUACUCCUACGGGAGGCAGCAGUGGGGAAUAUUGGACAAUGGACCAAGAGUCUGAUCCAGCAAUUCUGUGUGCACGAUGAAGGUUUUCGGAAUGUAAAGUGCUUUCAGUUGGGAAGAAAAAAAUGACGGUACCAACAGAAGAAGUGACGGCUAAAUACGUG
This 454-nucleotide ribosomal RNA is filed under the name uncultured bacterium. RNAcentral describes it as "partial 16S ribosomal RNA". It matches the Rfam family "Bacterial small subunit ribosomal RNA", at positions 28 to 507 of the family's 1533-position model. The record is from RNAcentral.